UUGGAACAGGGCCGGAGAGGCCAUAGAAACACAGAUCUGUGGAGGAUCUUCUCGAACACCAUCAAGUUCGGACCUUGAAAUCUCGAAAAACCAUGGUUUGGGGGUGAAGGAAGGUGAGCACAGGCCGUCUAUGGCCUGAGAACACAUGGACCCGAUGAGAUUGGUCGGAGAAGACGAAAAAAGAUGAUUAGGGUUUCGAGUGCUAGAGAUCAUUUGAGAUAAGGGGAGAG
RNAcentral lists this long non-coding RNA (230 nucleotides) under Nicotiana benthamiana. RNAcentral describes it as "long non-coding RNA (NBEN_LNC026488)". Lineage: Eukaryota; Viridiplantae; Streptophyta; Magnoliopsida; Solanales; Solanaceae. The record is from RNAcentral.